AGAAAUGCAUGUUCUCUUCGGAGCACUGGAGACAGGUGGUGCAUGGUUGUCGUCAGCUCGUGUCGUGAGAUGUUGGGUUAAGUCCCGCAACGAGCGCAACCCUUAUCCUUAGUAGCCAGCAGGGAAAGCUGGGCACUCUAGGGAGACUGCCAGGGAUAACCUGGAGGAAGGUGGGGAUGACGUCAAAUCAUCAUGCCCCUUAUGAUUUGGGCUACACACGUGCUACAAUGGCGUAAACAAAGGGAAGCGAAGUGGCGACAUGGAGCGAACCCCAAAAAUAACGUCUCAGUUCGGAUUGCAGGCUGCAACCCGCCUGCAUGAAGCCGGAAUCGCUAGUAAUCGCAGAUCAGAAUGCUGCGGUGAAUACGUUCCCGGGUCUUGUACACACCGCCCGUCACACCAUGGGAGUCGAUAACGCCCGAAGUCAGUGACCCAACCGAAAGGAGGGAGCUGCCGAAGGCGGGAUGGAUAACUGGGGUGAAGUCGUAACAAGGUAGCCGUAUCGGA
This 507-nucleotide ribosomal RNA is filed under the name uncultured bacterium. RNAcentral's name for it is "bacterial SSU rRNA". It matches the Rfam family "Bacterial small subunit ribosomal RNA", at positions 1002 to 1509 of the family's 1533-position model. The record is from RNAcentral.